This 265-nucleotide signal recognition particle RNA is filed under the name Candidatus Borkfalkia avistercoris. RNAcentral describes it as "signal recognition particle sRNA large type". It matches the Rfam family "Bacterial large signal recognition particle RNA". Rfam says of the family: The signal recognition particle (SRP) is a universally conserved ribonucleoprotein involved in the co-translational targeting of proteins to membranes. The record is from RNAcentral. Lineage: Bacteria; Bacillati; Bacillota; Clostridia; Christensenellales; Christensenellaceae.
CUGUGCUAGGUGGGGAGUCAGCGGUGCCCUGUAUCCGCAAUCCGCUAUAGCGGAACCGAACGCCUCCCCCGGAUCAGCGCGUGGAAGGUCUGCGCUCCGUAAGGAACGUUGAUCGCAAGGUCUCAUGCAACGGGCUGCCGUGAACCGUGUCAGGAUAGGGAUAUAGCAGCACUAAGCGGAUUUGUUCGUGUGCCAUGAGGUAGCUUUGCAGGAGUUACCUGCGGUUUUAACGCUUCGGCGCGCUGUUUCAAAGGAGGUCGCACAG